RNAcentral lists this transfer RNA (71 nucleotides) under candidate division MSBL1 archaeon SCGC-AAA259A05. Its description in RNAcentral is "candidate divison MSBL1 archaeon SCGC-AAA259A05 tRNA". It matches the Rfam family "tRNA". Rfam says of the family: Transfer RNA (tRNA) molecules are approximately 80 nucleotides in length. The record is from Rfam by way of RNAcentral. Lineage: Archaea; Methanobacteriati; Methanobacteriota.
GCCGGGGUGACCGAGUGGCCAGGUGACGGACUGCAGAUCCGUUAACGCCGGUUCGAAUCCGGCUCCCGGCU